Molecule: ribosomal RNA, 487 nt
Filed under: uncultured bacterium
Lineage: Bacteria
Description: bacterial SSU rRNA
Rfam family: Bacterial small subunit ribosomal RNA
Source: RNAcentral
AUUGAACGCUGGCGGCAUGCCUAACACAUGCAAGUCGAACGGUAACGACGGGAGCUUGCUCCCGGGCGACGAGUGGCGGACGGGUGAGUAAUACUUAGGAAUCUGCCCAGUAGUGGGGGACAACUCGAGGAAACUCGAGCUAAUACCGCAUACGCCCUACGGGGAAAGCGGGGGAUCUUCGGACCUCGCGCUAUUGGAUGAGCCUAAGUCGGAUUAGCUUGUAGGUAGGGUAACGGCCUACCUAGGCGACGAUCCGUAGCUGGUCUGAGAGGACGAUCAGCCACACUGGAACUGAGACACGGUCCAGACUCCUACGGGAGGCAGCAGUGGGGAAUAUUGGACAAUGGGCGCAAGCCUGAUCCAGCAAUGCCGCGUGUGUGAAGAAGGCCUGCGGGUUGUAAAGCACUUUCAGUGGAGAAGAAAAGCUUACGGUUAAUACCCGUGAGUCUUGACGUAACCCACAGAAGAAGCACCGGCUAACUCCGUG